AUUGAACGCUGGCGGCAGGCCUAACACAUGCAAGUCGAACGGUAACAGGAAGAAGCUUGCUUCUUUGCUGACGAGUGGCGGACGGGUGAGUAAUGUCUGGGAAACUGCCUGAUGGAGGGGGAUAACUACUGGAAACGGUAGCUAACACCGCAUAACGUCGCAAGACCAAAAAGGGGGACCUUCGGGCCUCUUGCCAUCGGAUGUGCCCAGAUGGGAUUAGCUAGUAGGUGGGGUAACGGCUCACCUAGGCGACGAUCCCUAGCUGGUCUGAGAGGAUGACCAGCCACACUGGAACUGAGACACGGUCCAGACUCCUACGGGAGGCAGCAGUGGGGAAUAUUGCACAAUGGGCGCAAGCCUGAUGCAGCCAUGCCGCGUGUAUGAAGAAGGCCUUCGGGUUGUAAAGUACUUUCAGCGGGGAGGAAGGGAGUAAAGUUAAUACCUUUGCUCAUUGACGUUACCCGCAGAAGAAGCACCGGCUAACUCCGUG
Molecule: ribosomal RNA, 490 nt
Filed under: uncultured bacterium
Lineage: Bacteria
Description: partial 16S ribosomal RNA
Rfam family: Bacterial small subunit ribosomal RNA
Source: RNAcentral